AGAGUUUGAUCAUGGCUCAGAACUAACGCUGGCGGCGCGUCUUAAACAUGCAAGUCGAACGGGUGUAGCAAUACAUCAGUGGCAGACGGGUGAGUAACACGUGGGAACCUUCCUAGGGGUACGGAACAACUCAGGGAAACUUGAGCUAAUACCGUAUACGUCCGUGAGGAGAAAGAUUUAUCGCCCUUAGACGGGCCCGCGUCGGAUUAGGUAGUUGGUGGGGUAACGGCCUACCAAGCCUACGAUCCGUAGCUGAUCUGAGAGGAUGAUCAGCCACACUGGGACUGAGACACGGCCCAGACUCCUACGGGAGGCAGCAGUGGGGAAUCUUGGACAAUGGGCGCAAGCCUGAUCCAGCCAUGCCGCGUGAGUGAAGAAGGCCUUCGGGUUGUAAAGCUCUUUUGUCAGGGACGAUAAUGACGGUACCUGAAGAAUAAGCCCCGGCAAACUUCGUG
This 455-nucleotide ribosomal RNA is filed under the name uncultured bacterium. RNAcentral's name for it is "bacterial SSU rRNA". It matches the Rfam family "Bacterial small subunit ribosomal RNA", at positions 8 to 507 of the family's 1533-position model. The record is from RNAcentral.